Triticum aestivum (bread wheat) is the source of this 136-nucleotide non-coding RNA. The record is from Rfam. Lineage: Eukaryota; Viridiplantae; Streptophyta; Magnoliopsida; Poales; Poaceae.
UGUGUACUCCCUCCGUUCCAAAAUACUUGACUUCCAUUUGUCCAAAAAUGGAUGUACCUAUAUACUACGACAUGUCUAGAUACAUAUAUAUUUUGACAAAUAGAAGGCAUGUAUUGUGCAACGGAGGGAGUAGAAU